Molecule: non-coding RNA, 65 nt
Organism: Dipodomys ordii (Ord's kangaroo rat)
Lineage: Eukaryota; Metazoa; Chordata; Mammalia; Rodentia; Heteromyidae
Source: Rfam
GGUGGCUCAGUGGCAGAGUGCUUGCCUAGCAUGCAUGAGGCCCUGGGUUCAAUUCCUCAGCACCA